Molecule: ribosomal RNA, 261 nt
Filed under: uncultured prokaryote
Description: partial 16S ribosomal RNA
Rfam family: Bacterial small subunit ribosomal RNA
Source: RNAcentral
UACGGAGGAUCCGAGCGUUAUCCGGAUUUAUUGGGUUUAAAGGGUGCGCAGGCGGGAGAUUAAGUCGGCGGUGAAAUUUUGCAGCUCAACUGUAAAAGUGCCUUCGAAACUGGUUUCCUUGAGUGUAGCUGAAGUAGGCGGAAUUUGUGGUGUAGCAGUGAAAUGCAUAGAUAUCACGAGGAACUCCGAUUGCGCAGGCAGCUUACUAAACUACUACUGACGCUCAUGCACGAAGGCGUGGGGAUCAAACAGGAUUAGAUA